CCCGUCUCCUCCCGUGUGGCCGCCCCGCCUCCCCGGCGCUGAGGUCAGCGCCGGCUAACGUCAGUGCUGGGAACCAGCGCGGGGUUCGGGUACGCGGGAGGGGCGGGAGCGGCGGGUACAGGAGGCCGAGGUGGGCCUGCGCGGACGUGGUCUCCCGCCCCUCGCGGCGGGGGCUGAGUGCCGCUGCCUCCAAGAAGCUUUCGCUGAUGCCGCCUCCCCCUAGCGGCCUCCUCUGACCUCCCACGGCAGUUUCCAGCCACAGCCGGGCAGAGCCACUCACCCCCAAGCUUUGGAGCCAUGUUUCCGCUUUGCUGGUUUUUUUUCUUUUUCAAAACGAGACGGAAUGGGUUCCUCUUGAACCUUCAGGAGUGGGGAACGCAGUUUACUCCCACGGCACUACCACGGCCCUCAGCGGGUCCUUGCUCUCCAAGCAGUUCCUUUCUGUUGCCUGAAAACAUCCAGCUUUCUUCUCGGUGCCACGGAUGGCAGAACCACUGAGCUAAAGCCCCCGGCCCGCCAACUUCUAACCCAAGCCCAGAGCCUGCUCUGGCACCCUUAGGAAACUGAGCUGACCUUGGAAAAAAGAGAACUCAGAGGUUCAUGAAACCAGAGGACAGAUGUCAGCAAGCCCAGAAUUGACCAGAGCUGACCACCAAGGAAGCCAGUGAACAAGGUCACGGCACCGAAAAGCUCCUCAGGGACACUCAGCACCCACAUCUGAGCAUCUUUGACAGUGGGCCUAGUGUUCUGGGCCUCACGCCCUGACACCAGCAUUGAUGAAAAAAACACUUUUCAGAUAAACCAUCACUUGUUUUAUUGCAGGAAAUAAAACUCUUGUCCUUACGUGAAU
This 850-nucleotide long non-coding RNA is filed under the name Heterocephalus glaber (naked mole-rat). Its description in RNAcentral is "lncRNA (ENSHGLG00100039529.1)". The record is from RNAcentral. Lineage: Eukaryota; Metazoa; Chordata; Mammalia; Rodentia; Bathyergidae.